CCUACGGGAGGCAGCAGUCGGGAAUUUUGGGCAAUGGGCGAAAGCCUGACCCAGCAACGCCGCGUGAAGGAUGAAAUCCUUCGGGAUGUAAACUUCGCAAGAACGGGAAGAAUAAGUAAGAGCUAACAUCUCUUACGAUGACGGUACUGUUUGUAAGCUCCGGCUAACUCCGUGCCAGCAGCCGCGGUAAUACGGGGGGAGCAAGCGUUGUUCGGAUUUACUGGGCGUAAAGGGCGCGUAGGCGGCCACCGCAAGUCAGUUGUGAAAUCUCUGGGCUUAACCCAGAAAGGUCAACUGAUACUGCGGGGCUAGAGUGCAGAAGGGGCAACUGGAAUUCUCGGUGUAGCGGUGAAAUGCGUAGAUAUCGAGAGGAACACCUGCGGCGAAGGCGGGUUGCUGGGCUGACACUGACGCUGAGGCGCGAAAGCUAGGGGAGCGA
This 439-nucleotide ribosomal RNA is filed under the name uncultured Brevitalea sp. RNAcentral's name for it is "bacterial SSU rRNA". It matches the Rfam family "Bacterial small subunit ribosomal RNA", at positions 338 to 771 of the family's 1533-position model. Lineage: Bacteria; Pseudomonadati; Acidobacteriota; Blastocatellia; Blastocatellales; Arenimicrobiaceae. The record is from RNAcentral.